UAACUGGUUGAUCCUGCCAGUAUCAUAUGCUUGUCUCAAAGAUUAAGCCAUGCAUGUCUAAGUAUAAGCACUUGUACUGUGAAACUGCGAAUGGCUCAUUAAAUCAGUUAUCGUUUAUUUGAUUGUACUCUCUUACUACUUGGAUAACCGUAGUAAUUCUAGAGCUAAUACAUGCGAAAAGUCCCGACUCUCGUGGAAGGGAUGUAUUUAUUAGAUUAAAAACCAAUGCGGCUUAACGGCCGCUUACCCAAUUGGUGAUUCAUAGUAACUGUUCGAAUCGCAUGGCCUUCUCUGUUCGUGCCGGCGAUGUUUCAUUCAAAUUUCUGCCCUAUCAACUGUCGAUGGUAAGGUAGUGGCUUACCAUGGUUGUAACGGGUGACGGAGAAUUAGGGUUCGAUUCCGGAGAGGGAGCCUGAGAAACGGCUACCACAUCCAAGGAAGGCAGCAGGCGCGCAAAUUACCCAAUCCUGACGUGGGGAGGUAGUGACAAAAAUAACAAUACAGGGCUUUUUUGUAGUCUUGUAAUUGGAAUGAGUACAAUUUAAAUCUCUUAACGAGGACCAAUUGGAGGGCAAGUCUGGUGCCAGCAGCCGCGGUAAUUCCAGCUCCAAUAGCGUAUUGUAAAGUUGUUGCAGCUAAAAAGCUCGUAGUUGGAUUUCGGGCUCGACGGCGACGGUCAGCCGCAAGGUAUGUCACUGUCGACGUUGGCCUUCUUCGCGCAGACUUCGCGUGCUCUUAACUGAGUGUGCGUUGGAUACGCGACGUUUACUUUGAAAAAAUUAGAGUGUUCAAAGCAGGCUUGUGCUUGGAUACAUAAGCAUGGAAUACUGGAAUAGGACUUUGGUUCUAUUUUCCGUUGGUUUCUGGAACCGAAGUAAUGAUUAAUAGGGACAGUUGGGGGCAUUCGUAUUUCGUUGUCAGAGGUGAAAUUCUUGGAUUUACGAAAGA
Molecule: ribosomal RNA, 948 nt
Filed under: Paramuricea clavata
Lineage: Eukaryota; Metazoa; Cnidaria; Anthozoa; Malacalcyonacea; Plexauridae
Description: Eukaryotic small subunit ribosomal RNA
Rfam family: Eukaryotic small subunit ribosomal RNA
Source: Rfam by way of RNAcentral